This 23-nucleotide non-coding RNA is filed under the name Rattus norvegicus (Norway rat). Lineage: Eukaryota; Metazoa; Chordata; Mammalia; Rodentia; Muridae. The record is from RNAcentral.
CACAAUUCUUGGUACCUAACACU